RNAcentral lists this long non-coding RNA (3001 nucleotides) under Homo sapiens (human). Its description in RNAcentral is "HSALNT0045207". Lineage: Eukaryota; Metazoa; Chordata; Mammalia; Primates; Hominidae. The record is from RNAcentral.
AGAUACUCCACUUUGAAACCCAGCCACUAUACUUUGAGAAAGUUAAGAAGUGACGAUGUUAGUUGGUCUCACCUGACAGCGUGCAUUGACUACUCAAUAUGAGUGAGAAAACCCUCACAUGAAUCUCACUUCCAACCUUCAUGCCACCCCAGUUCAUGCCAAGCAGAGAAGUCCUCACCAAGACCUACUCCAAUUAAAGAUUGGAAUCUAAUCACUGUCAAAGAAGCAUGGUACAGAAGCCAAUGCCAGCAGAAGCUUCCUGGCUUUCUGACAGACUUUUUAUUUGCAAGUGGAGUUUGAUCAUGUAAAGACAGAACUUCAGAUGGAUUAAUCCAUUAAUUCAUGAAAUAUUAUCUGAGUACCUAUUAUGUAAUAUACAUGGAUCUGAAAGUAAAAUAGUCCUUAACCUCAAGAACUUUGCAUUUUAUUGGGUAAGAAAGACAAUAAACACCUGAGCAAAUAAAUAAAUAAGGUCAAGUGGUUGUAAGAACUGCGGGAAAAAGGGUAGAAUAAAGACAUUGAAGAAAUAAUAUUAUUCGUCUAAGGUGGUCAGGGAUGCUGUCUCUGAAAAGGUGCUGUUUGAACAAAACCAUUAAAGAGUGCUGGUGUGAACAAUGUAGAACGUAUAGAGAAAUUUUUUUCUAAAUGAUACAACCGUAAUUGCAUGUUACUUAUUAAAGAAGGAUGCUUGCUGUGUUUGAGAAACUGUUGGAGGAAACCAUAUCUGCACUAAAAUAAGCAAAGGAAAGAAGAGAUGCUUGUGUGGGAAUAGAACAUUAUAUAGGAUAAUGUGAAGACACUGGCUUUUUUCUGAGUGUUUUUAAGGGUAGAGUUCAAAGGAAAAGUACAAGGGGCUUAUUAUGGAGUCCCUUUAAAUAACCCAAGUUUGAAACGAUGGUAACUUACACCAGUGUUAAGCAGUGGUGAUUAGCAGCUGUUGAAUUCUGGAGGUAGUUUUGAAGCUAAAAACUGUAAAAGAUCUGAUGGAUCAAAUGUUCAUAGAAGAGAAAGAAAAGCAUGAUGAAUCACCAUGAGGAUUGUGUCCUCUUACAAGAAUAAAGUUGUAAUUUAGUGAAAUGAGUAAUAGAGGAUGUGGUGGAUUAACUAGUAUCUUCCCCCAAAUUCCUAUCUACACAGAAUCUCAGAAUGUGAUCUUAUUUGGAAUCAGGGUAUUUCUAGAUCCUUAAAAUAAAGAUGUAGAUAAGAUGAUACUAGAUUAGGGCAGGUCCCAAAUCCAAUGAGGAUGUCCUUAUAAGAGACAGGAAAGGACACAGAGACACAAAGAGAAGAAGGCAAUGUAAAGACAGAGGCAGAGAUUGAAGUAAUGUCUCUACAAGCCAAGGGGCACCAAAGAUUACUGGUGAUCAACAGAAGCUAGGAGAAAGACAUGAAGUGGAUUCAUUUUCAUCACCUCUGGAAUAAAUCAAUUUUGACAACACCUUAUUUCAGGUGUCGAACUGAGAGAAUAAAUUUCUGUUGUAUUAAGCCACCAAGUUUGUGGUAAUUUGUGAUGGCAGCCUAAAAACAGACACAGAUGGGACAUGAGAAAUCUGGUGUUAGUGGGAAUCAGUAGUUUGAAUCUGUGCCAUAUUUAGCACACAUCUAAGAUAUUUAGUACACAUCUAAGAAAAAAUGACAAGUUGGCAAAUUUGGUCAUAGAAGUCUGGAGUUCAGAGGUCUAGUUAAGCCCAUUAUAAUUAUUGUGAAUCAUUAGGGAAUUGUUGAUAUUUAAAGUUGUCGGUGAACGACACCACCUGUGGAAUGAGUGUAACUGUGUAAAAAUUGAUAGGAGUAAUUGUCAUUGGCUAUGCCAACAUUUACCAUUCAAUGAACUGAGAAACCACCAAAGCAGAUUGAGAAGGAAUAAAAGCCAGUGGAGAGUUGCAAGCAGAAGAUCCUUUGCCAACUAAUAACAAGUUAGGUAAGAUGAAUAAUGGGAAUUGAAUAUUGAGUUUAAUAACAUGAAGAUUACUGUUGACAUUUUUAACAGUUACUUUCAUGGAGGGUAAGCAAGUAAGUACUUAAUUGGCUUGGGUUUCAAAGGAAAUGAACAACAUUUAAUUUGAAGUUCAAGUUUUGAUGUUUGGAAAGUUUGGGAGUUUGGAAAUAGGAACAGAAAAAUGGGACAGACACUUGAGGCGGAUGUAGGUUCAAAACAUAGGAUUGACUUUCCUAGUUCACAAUAAUAAAAAUAAAUAUCGGCUCUACUAAAAUGUUGAAGUCAUUCUAGUAUUCUUAGCGGACCACAGAUUUCUUGAGAAAUUUACAUGUUGACAUAAUUGCAACACAUUUGACUAUGAAUAAAUAACAGUAUAAUUAUGUAUUUUGAUAUUUUGUCCCAGUGCAUAAGUACAUAAAUACACAAAAAUUGUAUGUAAAAAUGGAAAAUAUGAGGGGACUAAUAUUAAAAUGUCUUCUACUCUGGCUCUAAACAACAAAAAAGCUCAACUAUCCAAAAUUUGAUAUAAAAUUAUGUGAUAGUUAAUUUCUAUAAUACUGAACCUACAGAACUUUAAACACUAUUGACGUCAUCACAUAAAUGUUAAUAUUGUCAAUUAUAAGAGCUUUUGCAUUAUUUUAUUAAAAUUAUUUGAAAUAUGGAAGAUGUUUUCCUCAUUCAGUUGUGUCAUAAUUAGAAACAAAGAGUAUAUAAUUUAUAUAAUGAUAAUAACAGACUUAAUAUUGGCAUGUACUCUAAGUACUGAUAAUGUUUGAUUAAUUUGUUAUGCCUCUGACUGACUCCCUCUGUAUACAUUUUUAUUAUCCUUUUAUGCUUUAUUUUUUAUCUGUUUUAUUAAAAUUACUUUAAACCAUGUUUGUGGGAAAAUUAAGUUGCAUGUAUUUUACUAAAAUCCUCAUAGAACUAAUUUAUUUUUGGUAUUUUUAUAGCACAUUAAUAUUUUUCUUUUAUUGAAAUUGUCCUGAUUUACUGACAUUACACUGUUUUCAUUGAGAUAAGAAAAUUUUGAAUAAAAUGUUCUACAAUGAUUUUACUCAUCAU